CAGAGAUGUAGGUCAAGAGGAGAAGAACAAACUGACCAAGGAAGUAAAUGUGAAACUCAAAUGUGAAGGUAACGUACUGGCAGUGCACAACACUGAAACUGAGACUUGGUGAAAAUUAUAGUAUUGCAUCUUUCUCCAUACCUUACUACUACAGCAAGCCUCAUCAUGAUUGUACCUGGAUUAAAACUGAAUGGGCUGUAAGAUGCUCUCUGCAAGCACAAUGACGUGGAAUCCUACAGUUAAGAGGCAUGGUUUCUAAGAUUGAAAUGAACAUAGAAACCCAUAACUGUUCAAGGUUCAGAGAAUAAGGGACUGCUUGAUGUUUGGCCAUAAACAGGACAUCUGUAUCACAGACAUGUCCCCCUCACUCAAGGCACAGGGAUCAUGCAGAAGGGAUCAGGAAGACGGUCAUUACAGCAAAGGGUAACACUCA
This 433-nucleotide small RNA is filed under the name Rattus norvegicus (Norway rat). Its description in RNAcentral is "uncharacterized LOC108350232". Lineage: Eukaryota; Metazoa; Chordata; Mammalia; Rodentia; Muridae. The record is from RNAcentral.